GACGAACGCUGGCGGCGUGCCUAAUACAUGCAAGUCGAACGCUUCUUUUUCCACCGGAGCUUGCUCCACCGGAAAAAGAGGAGUGGCGAACGGGUGAGUAACACGUGGGUAACCUGCCCAUCAGAAGGGGAUAACACUUGGAAACAGGUGCUAAUACCGUAUAACAAUCGAAACCGCAUGGUUUUGAUUUGAAAGGCGCUUUCGGGUGUCGCUGAUGGAUGGACCCGCGGUGCAUUAGCUAGUUGGUGAGGUAACGGCUCACCAAGGCGACGAUGCAUAGCCGACCUGAGAGGGUGAUCGGCCACAUUGGGACUGAGACACGGCCCAAACUCCUACGGGAGGCAGCAGUAGGGAAUCUUCGGCAAUGGACGAAAGUCUGACCGAGCAACGCCGCGUGAGUGAAGAAGGUUUUCGGAUCGUAAAACUCUGUUGUUAGAGAAGAACAAGGAUGAGAGUAACUGUUCAUCCCUUGACGGUAUCUAACCAGAAAGCCACGGCUAACUACGUGCCAGCAGCCGCGGUAAUACGUAGGUGGCAAGCGUUGUCCGGAUUUAUUGGGCGUAAAGCGAGCGCAGGCGGUUUCUUAAGUCUGAUGUGAAAGCCCCCGGCUCAACCGGGGAGGGUCAUUGGAAACUGGGAGACUUGAGUGCAGAAGAGGAGAGUGGGAAUUCCAUGUGUAGCGGUGAAAUGCGUAGAUAUAUGGAGGAACACCAGUGGCGAAGGCGGCUCUCUGGUCUGUAACUGACGCUGAGGCUCGAAAGCGUGGGGAGCAAACAGGAUUAGAUACCCUGGUAGUCCACGCCGUAAACGAUGAGUGCUAAGUGUUGGAGGGUUUCCGCCCUUCAGUGCUGCAGCUAACGCAUUAAGCACUCCGCCUGGGGAGUACGACCGCAAGGUUGAAACUCAAAGGAAUUGACGGGGGCCCGCACAAGCGGUGGAGCAUGUGGUUUAAUUCGAAGCAACGCGAAGAACCUUACCAGGUCUUGACAUCCUUUGACCACUCUAGAGAUAGAGCUUCCCCUUCGGGGGCAAAGUGACAGGUGGUGCAUGGUUGUCGUCAGCUCGUGUCGUGAGAUGUUGGGUUAAGUCCCGCAACGAGCGCAACCCUUAUUGUUAGUUGCCAUCAUUUAGUUGGGCACUCUAGCAAGACUGCCGGUGACAAACCGGAGGAAGGUGGGGAUGACGUCAAAUCAUCAUGCCCCUUAUGACCUGGGCUACACACGUGCUACAAUGGGAAGUACAACGAGUCGCAAAGUCGCGAGGCUAAGCUAAUCUCUUAAAGCUUCUCUCAGUUCGGAUUGUAGGCUGCAACUCGCCUACAUGAAGCCGGAAUCGCUAGUAAUCGCGGAUCAGCACGCCGCGGUGAAUACGUUCCCGGGCCUUGUACACACCGCCCGUCACACCACGAGAGUUUGUAACACCCGAAGUCGGUGAGGUAACCUUUUGGAGCCAGCCGCCUAAGGUGGGAUAGAUGAUUGGGGUG
This 1483-nucleotide ribosomal RNA is filed under the name Enterococcus sp. Its description in RNAcentral is "bacterial SSU rRNA". It matches the Rfam family "Bacterial small subunit ribosomal RNA". Lineage: Bacteria; Bacillati; Bacillota; Bacilli; Lactobacillales; Enterococcaceae. The record is from RNAcentral.